UUAAAGGAGUAGGUCCAGUAAGACCCCUUUUUGGCCCCAAAAUAUAGCAGUUUUACAAAAUUGUUCAAAUGUAAACUUUUAGUAAUUUAUUGGACAGAAGAAUGCUUCUGCUACAUAAAUAUGGGCUGUUUUUUGACAAUACAAUGAAAAUAUAUCGGGUACUAGCACCACAAAGUCAUGCUAAAUUACUGGAAUCUUCACAAUUCUAGCAUUUUAGUUGAAUUUUAGAC
RNAcentral lists this long non-coding RNA (230 nucleotides) under Mytilus galloprovincialis (Mediterranean mussel). The record is from RNAcentral. Lineage: Eukaryota; Metazoa; Mollusca; Bivalvia; Mytilida; Mytilidae.